GAGAACAGUCAGUCGUUCGUUGCUAAUUCGCGAUUACAAGCGACUCCCCUUCAGGCAGUCGAGUUGCGAACAGCGAUCCGAACUGAAACCGGUUUUCAGGGAUCCGCUCCACCUCGCGGUGUCGCACCCCGUUGUACCGGCCAUUGUACCAGGCGUGAAGCCCUGGACGUAAGGGGCAUGAUGAUCUGACGUCUUCCCCACCUUCCUCCGAGUUAACCCCGGCGGUCCCUUGUGAGUUCCCGCCAUGACGCGCUGGCAACAAAAGGGGAGGGUUGCGCUCGUUGCGGUACUUAACCCAACAUCUCACGACACGAGCUGACGACCACCAUGCACCACCUGUGAACCGGCCCCGAAGGGAAGCCCCGUCUCCCCGACCGUCCGGAACAUGUCAGGCCCAGGU
RNAcentral lists this ribosomal RNA (400 nucleotides) under uncultured Bifidobacterium sp. RNAcentral describes it as "partial 16S ribosomal RNA". Lineage: Bacteria; Bacillati; Actinomycetota; Actinomycetes; Bifidobacteriales; Bifidobacteriaceae. The record is from RNAcentral.